This 122-nucleotide ribosomal RNA is filed under the name Octodon degus (degu). The record is from RNAcentral. Lineage: Eukaryota; Metazoa; Chordata; Mammalia; Rodentia; Octodontidae.
GUCUACAGCCAUCCUACCCUGAACAUGCCCGAUCUCAUCUGAUCUCAGAAGCUAAGCAAGGUCAGUCCUGGUUGGUACUUGGAUGGGAGAAUUUAUGAAAUAGUUUCAAUAUGAUGAAAAUA